Paramisgurnus dabryanus is the source of this 1930-nucleotide long non-coding RNA. RefSeq lists it as uncharacterized. NCBI's taxonomy places the organism in Eukaryota, Metazoa, Chordata, Actinopteri, Cypriniformes, Cobitidae. The record is from RefSeq and is a predicted model, not a curated record.
UUCAAUCCUACACGUUAUUGUACUACAGUACAGUAGGUGGCGGUAUACUGUAGUAUGCUGUUCAUGUCCGCAUCGUCAUACGCGCCAGCACCCCUGAAAGACUGCAGGAACAGAAACCCCUGGAAAGAUGAGUUCCCUAUUAAAGAGAGGCUUGAUGCUGUUUACUCCACACUCUUAGGCUGAUUUUGGAUUAUUUGUCUGUGAAGACACAGUAGUUCAGUUUCUGAAUCCCAUCAAGAAUGAAGACCUGCAGGCCACCAUAUUGAGCUGUGAGUCAAAAUUUAUACUUUUAUAACCAUACCAGUAUAUGACAUUUCAGUGUAGUGCCAUUUAAGUUUCCCUGGCUAAAAUAGUUUAAUUUGGUAAUAUUUGUUAAUAAGAUUAUUAAUAAGUUAUAUUUGUAUAUUUGACUUGUAUAGCAGGUUAUAUAGUUAUAUUUGUUUGAACAAAUAAGUAUAUUGUUAAUAACAAGCUGAGAUGGUGGGUUUUCUGGCUAUGGUUUUACAGGAUGUAUAAGAAGGGGAAAGACAGAAUAGGUAGCUUGGUUAAUUUCGUUUACAUGCAUAGUUCAUGGGGAAUUUGUUCAGAGAAAGCAUUCAAACACAACCAAACAUCUUUACUGUCUCAUGAUUUUCUGUGUUCCAGGCAGGGUCUGAUGUCAUAAUAUGGCGCUUUUCCAAUGUAGGGUAAAACUUGGCUCGGCACAAUGCAGCUCAGCUCGCUUUCAUUGCUUUUCCAGUACAGUUUAGUAUCGCUUCAGAGUGGGUGAGAUUAUAGGCAGGGGUGCACAUAAGGGUGUGUAUGCGCGAUUAGAAACAAUCCCAGCGUACCAACGUUGCUGAAAUUUUGUUACAUAGUUAGCUAAUUUACUGCAACAUAAGGGAUUUCAUAACAUCUCGAUCACUCCCCAGUGACUGGUCCCAGUAUAGGUCAUAAACCCCGCCUCCCCCAUGUUAUUUAAUGGGACUUGAGAGACCAAGCUGUUUUUUGUAAUUUACUGUAGGUUUUAUCAUGCUGAUGUAAAUUCAAGUGUUUGUUUUUAAAAUAAGUUUGUUUUUAGUUAGUUAGUUAAUGCUAUAAAACGGUGUUGUCACGUCAUGAUUGACAGCUGUGUAUGCACAUUCUGGGAGAGUGAGGGCGGGGCCUUGAUUUCGCGGCUUUACAUCCUGCUCACUACUGUGCAGGAUUGGUCCCGAAAUUGCUACUGCGCAGACUCAAGACCCAAGAUGUCAGCGGCGACACUGGCGGCUUCAUUUUUUACCAAUGGAAGAGAGCAAGCUCUCCAGGUGCUCCUUUUAGAACCAGGACAAAAAAAGUUAUGUGCACCUCUGAUUAUAGGCUUAUUGUUACAGUUGCAUCCCCUCUACUGCCGUAACAUCAUCGUAAAUGUGAUACAAACACACACACAACAUGGAGCAACAUAACAUAUUAAUGGAAUGUAGCCACAAAAUCAAAAUUGACAGCCACAACUACAUUUUCCACUACCUCUCUCACAUGACAGGUUCUGUACAAACACCCGUGUCAUCAGUAUCAGCUCUCCGCGGACAGAACAUUUAAGCCAUGACGCCUAUAUUUUUGGUGCGUUUUGGAUGCGGAGCCAUGCGCAAAGUUACAAAAAUGCCAUGCAGACAUAGGCAUGGUGGUGUGCUCUGCAUUUUUGUAACUUUGCACAUGACUUCACAUCCGAAACCCCAUCCCAUUACUCCUCCCCCAAAAGUGAGCUGUGCUGAACUGGGUUAUACUAUGCAGUGGAAAAGCGCCAAAAGUGUCCUACUUCGUGGCUUGAAGGAUUUAGCAGUUUCAGCGUUGGACUUGUAAUUCUGCGUGUUUGGCUUCUUUAGCACUUGCUGUUUGAAAGUCAUUGCUUGCAACAGAUUGAGCGACUGUCAUUCUACAUUUCUGUUUGCAUUGCUUUGCUUGCAUUUUGAAU